RNAcentral lists this ribosomal RNA (70 nucleotides) under Ureibacillus terrenus. Its description in RNAcentral is "partial 16S ribosomal RNA". It matches the Rfam family "Bacterial small subunit ribosomal RNA", at positions 1 to 67 of the family's 1533-position model. The record is from RNAcentral. Lineage: Bacteria; Bacillati; Bacillota; Bacilli; Caryophanales; Caryophanaceae.
UUCUUUUUGGAGAGUUUGAUCCUGGCUCAGGACGAACGCUGGCGGCGUGCCUAAUACAUGCAAGUCGAGC